Molecule: RNase P RNA, 305 nt
Filed under: Nitrososphaerota archaeon
Lineage: Archaea; Thermoproteati; Nitrososphaerota
Description: RNase P RNA component
Rfam family: Archaeal RNase P
About the family: Ribonuclease P (RNase P) is a ubiquitous endoribonuclease, found in archaea, bacteria and eukarya as well as chloroplasts and mitochondria. Its best characterised activity is the generation of mature 5'-ends of tRNAs by cleaving the 5'-leader elements of precursor-tRNAs. Cellular RNase Ps are ribonucleoproteins.
Source: RNAcentral
GCGAGUUGGCGUGUGACUUUCGGGUCCAAAUGUUGGAUCUGAGGAAACUCCGCCCUACACGUAGAAUUGCAGCACCUCAGGUGUAAAGUGAGAACUUUGGCAACGGAGCAGAAACGACACGUCCAAUUGGUGUUUUAACAGAUGAGGCAUCCUAAAAUGCUGAUCAGUCAAUUUGGAAGCGAUGAAACGGCCGACCUGCAAGUGGAAAGGGCAAACAGACGCUGAUGACCCUCUACAGGAGGCGCGGGUAGCCCGAUUAGCCGAAUGUCACAAAAUAAACAAAAGGCGGGUUAUGUCCAACACAC